CCAUCAUUUCUUGGGACCAAUGAUGCUGCUUCCUACUCUCUGCUUUCUGCCUGGGAGUUUUGUCUGGGACGCCUGUGUCUGCCCCACUCACUGUGUGGUGCAAGCUCCAUUUCCAGUGAGGACAACCGUGGCUGCCGAGAGCACCUUACAAGCCAGGCAUCCUCCUCUGAGCUCAAGGCAGCCUUGAGAAGUGGGACGAAGACUUCCUUCACGGGAAGAGGAGCGGCUCAGAGAAAGGAAGAGGCUAGUCCAGAACCACCACGUGGACAUCUUCUGUGAAGGCCCUGGGGUGAAGGGCAC
RNAcentral lists this long non-coding RNA (300 nucleotides) under Homo sapiens (human). Its description in RNAcentral is "non-protein coding LINC02519:28". Lineage: Eukaryota; Metazoa; Chordata; Mammalia; Primates; Hominidae. The record is from RNAcentral.